RNAcentral lists this unclassified non-coding RNA (165 nucleotides) under uncultured Hypocreales. RNAcentral describes it as "sequence contains ITS1". The record is from RNAcentral. Lineage: Eukaryota; Fungi; Ascomycota; Sordariomycetes; Hypocreales.
UUGAGUGUAAAAACUCCCAAACCCAUUGUGAACAUACCAAUUGUUGCUUCGGCGGCCUUCGCCCCGGGCGCGUCACGGCGUGCCCCGGAACCAGGCGACCGCCGGGGGACCCUAAACUCUCGUUUUCUUUAGUGGAUUAUCUGAGUGGAUUUACGAAUCAAAUCA